Schizosaccharomyces pombe (fission yeast) is the source of this 72-nucleotide non-coding RNA. The record is from the annotation of a GenBank genome assembly. Lineage: Eukaryota; Fungi; Ascomycota; Schizosaccharomycetes; Schizosaccharomycetales; Schizosaccharomycetaceae.
UUACGCGUGGCGCAAUGGUAGCGCAUCUCAUUCCUAACGAGAAGGUUGCGGGUUCGAGUCCCGUCGUGUAAG